AUGUUUAAAAUGCUUUUAAUCAAGGAAUGGAGUCCAAUAUCAGCUCUACACAAACUGAUGCCUAGUGGCCAGCAGCCAACAUCGUGAGCUUUCUUGUUCAACGUUAGAAAUUGCAAAAACUGCCUAAAUUCUUCUUCAUUAAUUGAAUUUGCAGAACUGCCAGCAUUCUUAUUCUUUUCAACUAAAAUGGAUUUGCAGAAACUUUGAGUCUUUGAGUGAGGCAGGGCCACAGGGAGCAGAGCACAAGAAGCAAAUAUGCAGGGAGCAGAGCACAACAAGCAAAUAUGCAGUGACGAUGAGAUGAAAUUUGAGUCUUUGAAUACUUUGUUUUCAACUAUUGUCCGCUUUGUUCUUGUGUCAUUCAUUCAUUUGUGUGAACUGUAAGUGAUGGUAUGAAGUGAUGAUGACAUGAACUGUAAGUGGCUAAGUGAUAUGAAUUAUGAAGUGAUGAAUUGAUGAUGAGAUGAACUGUAAGAGUGUAAGUGAUGAACUGAAGUUGAUGUGAGAGAGUGAGAGAGUGAGAGUUAUAAGUUAUUUGAUUGUUUUACAUUUGCUUAUGGUCUGGGCCCUUGAAUUCAUAUAAGUUAUUUGAUUGUUUUUCAUUGCUUUCAGUUUUUCUAUUGCUGACAGGUUUGAGAUUUAAAAUUUUCAUUUGGGCCUUAGCUGAAAGCUGGCCCAAUCUUAAACUCGGUUGGAGGCCCAACCAACCGAUACCAACCGAUACCAACCGAUACCGAGAAGUUGGUAUACCGACUUUUGUGGCCGGUAAUGGUACUUCAUUUUGUGUACCAAUAAGUUCUGGUACGGUAGGUGGUUUUGGCCUUGAAGGGUCGGUACCGUAC
Molecule: long non-coding RNA, 842 nt
Filed under: Rosa chinensis
Lineage: Eukaryota; Viridiplantae; Streptophyta; Magnoliopsida; Rosales; Rosaceae
Description: sRNA RchiOBHm_Chr5g0056571
Source: RNAcentral